CCUACGGGAGGCAGCAGUGGGGAAUAUUGCACAAUGGGGGAAACCCUGAUGCAGCGACGCCGCGUGAGUGAAGAAGUUUCUCGGUAUGUAAAGCCCUAUCAGUCGGGAAGAAAAUGACGGUACCUGUCUAAGAAGCCCCGGCUAACUACGUGCCAGCAGCCGCGGUAAUACGUAGGGGGCAAGCGUUAUCCGGAUUUACUGGGUGUAAAGGGAGCGUAGACGGCAGCACAAGUCUGGAGUGAAAUGCCGGGGCUUAACCCCGGAACUGCGUUGGAAACUGUGAAGCUAGAGUGCAGGAGAGGUAAGUGGAAUUCCUGGUGUAGCGGUGAAAUGCGUAGAUAUUAGGAAGAACACCAGUGGCGAAGGCGGCUGACUGGACUGUAACUGACGUUGAGGCUCGAAAGCGUGGGGAGCAAACAGGAUUAGAUACCCGGGUAGUC
This 440-nucleotide ribosomal RNA is filed under the name uncultured bacterium. Its description in RNAcentral is "partial 16S ribosomal RNA". It matches the Rfam family "Bacterial small subunit ribosomal RNA", at positions 338 to 795 of the family's 1533-position model. The record is from RNAcentral.